This 404-nucleotide ribosomal RNA is filed under the name uncultured Eubacteriales bacterium. RNAcentral describes it as "bacterial SSU rRNA". It matches the Rfam family "Bacterial small subunit ribosomal RNA", at positions 356 to 774 of the family's 1533-position model. Lineage: Bacteria; Bacillati; Bacillota; Clostridia; Eubacteriales. The record is from RNAcentral.
GGGGAAUAUUGGGCAAUGGACGAAAGUCUGACCCAGCAACGCCGCGUGAAGGAAGAAGGCUUGCGGGUUGUAAACUUCUUUUAAGGGGGAAGAGCAGAAGACGGUACCCCUUGAAUAAGCCACGGCUAACUACGUGCCAGCAGCCGCGGUAAUACGUAGGUGGCAAGCGUUGUCCGGAUUUACUGGGUGUAAAGGGCGUGCAGCCGGGAAGGCAAGUCAGAUGUGAAAGGUACCGGCUCAACCGGUGCACAUGCAUUUGAAACUGAAAGACUUGAGUAUUGGAGAGGCAAGUGGAAUUCCUAGUGUAGCGGUGAAAUGCGUAGAUAUUAGGAGGAACACCGGUGGCGAAGGCGGCUUGCUGGACAAAUACUGACGCUGAGGUGCGAAAGCGUGGGGAGCAAACA